ACUGGGUAGGGGGAGCUCCCUCAGCCUGGAUUGCAAGAGGGCACAGGCCAGGCCGAGGGACCCCACUGGUGCACG
Non-coding RNA from Myotis davidii, 75 nucleotides. Lineage: Eukaryota; Metazoa; Chordata; Mammalia; Chiroptera; Vespertilionidae. The record is from Rfam.